AGCAGCCGCGGUAAUUCCAGCUCCAAUAGCGUAUAUUAAAGUUGCUGCAGUUAAAAAGCUCGUAGUUGAAUUUCGGGAUCAAUAUGUUGGUCGUGCCUCGGUACGUACUAGCUUAUUGGUUUCUCCCUUCUGACGAACCAUGAUGUCAUUUAUUUGGUGUUAUGGGAAAUCAGGACUGUUACUUUGAAAAAAUUAGAGUGUUUAAAGCAGGCUCACGCUUGAAUACAUUAGCAUGGAAUAAUGAAAUAGGACGUUUGAUUCUAUUUUGUUGGUUUCUAGGAUCGACGUAAUGAUUAAUAGGGAUAGUUGGGGGCAUUAGUAUUCAAUUGUCAGAGGUGAGAUUCUUGGAUUUAUUGAAGACUAAUUACUGCGAAAGCAUUUGCCAAGGAUGUUUUCAUUAAUCAAGAACGAAAGUUAGGGAUCGAAGACGAUCAGAUACCG
Molecule: ribosomal RNA, 441 nt
Filed under: uncultured Glomeromycotina
Lineage: Eukaryota; Fungi; Glomeromycota
Description: SSU rRNA
Rfam family: Eukaryotic small subunit ribosomal RNA
Source: RNAcentral